This is an RNA transcript of Malania oleifera, 2560 nucleotides long. It is a transcript of the gene named regulator of G-protein signaling 1, with no coding region annotated. NCBI's taxonomy places the organism in Eukaryota, Viridiplantae, Streptophyta, Magnoliopsida, Santalales, Ximeniaceae. The record is from RefSeq and is a predicted model, not a curated record. The transcript has 13 exons.
UUUUUUUUUUUUCAAAAUCAGCAUCUAAAAUGAGUUUUGAUUUUCAAGAAAAAUAUCAUAACAAGUUUCUUUGAGUUGUUAGAAUUGAUAUUUCUGUCAAAGGAAUUGCAUGAAAAUUGUUUGCUUUUGGGGGAUGAAUGAAAUUUCUCGAAUCGGGUUGGCAUCCGCAUAUCCUAGAAAUUUGCGAAUUGCCCUCGUUGGUCAAACAGAUCAGGCGGCGGGUGUGGACUGUUCUACUGACAGAAUCCUUCUGUGGACCGUAACCACGGAUUACAAAGAUCAAUUGACGCUCUGGUUAGGUAGAUUGGGACCAAGGCUGCAAAUGCAAUGGCCAGUUGUGCCGUGGAAGGAGGCUGCCCCAGCGAUUACAUAGCCAUUGUCAUAUCCCUCCUGUCCUUCAUAUUGCUUCUCUCACGAGCAACUUUACCCUUUCUGGUUCGCAAAGUCCCUUGUCCGAAAGGCAGUCGCUUUUGGGUUCCAGCAAUUCAAGUUUUUGCGAGCUUCAACCUUCUGUUAUCAAUUGUCAUGUAUCUCAAGUUUCUGAAGUUUGAAAAGAGGCAUUGGUGGCAAUCUUGCUAUGUUUGGGCAGUCUGGAUUGAAGGUCCCUUUGGAUUUGGUUUGCUGCUAAGCUGUCGCAUUGCUCAGGCCUUCAAACUUUAUUACAUAUUUGUUAAGCGGCGUUUAGCACCUAUCAGAUCUUAUGUCUUUCUGCCAUUGAUUCUUUUGCCAUGGAUCGCUGCUGCUGCAUUGAUACAUACAAAGAAGCCUUUAAAUGCCCAAUGCCACAUGGAGGCUCAGUGGAUCAUCCCUGUUAUGUGCCUACACACUGCAUAUGUCAUUGCUUUGGUUGGUUUUACAGGGGCCGUUCGUCAUAUUGAGUUCAGGUUUCACGAACUGAAAGAACUAUGGCGGGGAAUACUUGUCUCCACUGCUUCUAUUGUCAUUUGGGUUGCUUCUUAUAUUUUGAAUGAAAUCCAUGAGGAAAUAUCUUGGCUUCAAGUUGCAACCAGAUUUCUUUUACUAAUUACGGCCAGUAUUCUCGUGUUGGCUUUUUUCUCAGUCUCAAGUUCUCAACCUUUACUCUCUCAGAUGAGCAUGAGAAGGAGGGAACGCCCUGAAUUUGAGACAAUGGGUCGGGCGUUGGGUAUACCUGAUAGUGGACUAUUAUCACGAAGAGAAUCAACUGCAGCCAUAGAUCCUAAUGAACCUCUUGAUAAGCUUCUUCUCAACAAGAGAUUCCGUCAAUCCUUCAUGGCAUUUGCAGACAGUUGUUUGGCUGGGGAGAGUGUUCAUUUCUUUGAUGAUGUGCACGAGCUUAGUAAAAUACCUGUGGAUGAUCCAAUAAGAAGAAUCUACAUGGUGCGGCACAUUAUAGAGAGGUACAUAGUUGCAGGGGCUCCCAUGGAGGUGAACAUCUCUCAUAGAAGCCGACAAGAAAUUAUGACAAGUCUUGAUUUAACAUGCCCUGAUCUUUUCAAUAAUGCAGUUAACGAGCUGGUGCAGUUGAUGAAGAUGAACCUAGCAAGAGAUUACUGGUCAUCCAUUUUCUUCAUGAAGUUUAAAGAAGAAGCUGCCAUGAGAUCCAAUGCCCAUGAGCUGGAACAAGCGAUGGAUUGGAACUUCUCUCCUAGGUUGAGCGCUGUCCAUGGUGUUGAUGAUCCCUUCCACCAAGAACAUCCUCUGAAGGCCUCCGGCUGCAAUAGUGAUGAUUCCGACCCUCAAUGAAGUAAUUGCGCCUAAUAUUACUGGUUAUGUAUGUCCAGUUACAAAGGUAGCACCUCCUCUGUAUAAUGAAGCUAUUUUCUUUGUUUCCUACCACUGCCUGGAUGGUGGGAACUAAUGUUUUAGAAGUAUAAGGAAGAAGAAGGAACUAAUGAAGGAAGGAAAGCUAACCAAGGAAGCAAGAGGAGGAUGGCGAAUCUUGAGAGGAAUGAAUAAAAGUAUGGGAUGACAAAUCGGCGACCUCUCAUUACAGUGAUUUGAUCAUACAAGUGAACAAAAAUUAUAGAACCCGUAACUUGGUUUUGUAUAAGCAAUGCUGGAAAGGUUCAUGGUUGGAGUAUUAUUAUUGCAGUAUGGAUUUCCCUUUUUCUUUUGAGAGUUUGUGUGGCAGACCUAAAAUAUAGAAUCUCGUGGAUAUGAUGUGAAACUAAAAUAAUAUUUUUAUACAGGAUUUGAGGGUGUGCUUCUGACUUGCAUUUGAACUUUUCCCAUGAACACAUGUGCAGUGUCCAUGGCUUUUCAAACAAGAUAAGGCUUCGGGCUUCAGUGGUGUAUGUACAAACAUCUGAAUGAUCGUUGUCAAGCUCAACUCUGGAUUAUUAUGGACCCGUGAACCCAGUCAUUAAAGAUUCCUGUUCCAGUUCAGAGUUCAGAGUCCAAGUGAAGUUUCCUCUCAUUUCUCUGCUUUAAUGGGCUUGUUUGUUUUCCAUUUCAUUUUAAUGUACACUCACAUCCCCAAUUUUGAUUUUUUUUUUUUUUUAAUCUUUUUGCGGUUUGUAGACAUGCUCACUCUUAUCCAAAAUAGUAAAGAGACUGAAUGGUCGAGUUCUCUCAAAAA